AUGACAUCCUCGCGUCCCUCGUACGUCGUUCCUAAGAAUCCCUCUGAAGCGGGAAUGAGAUCACAAUAUACUUUGCCCACAAAUUCCUCUUGAACUUUCCUGAAUUUUGAUAUUGUAUACACUGCCUGAUAUUGCUUCUCCAUGUUGUAGUAUGUAGCAUAGUGUACCAUUUGUGAGUAAGACUUAAAAUCUGCUUAAAAUUCCUUCUCAACUUUACUUCUCAAAGCUCGUUCAUAUUGUUCAACGAAUUGCUUUAACGUUGUUUUUGAAUGUAUAUAACCGUCGAAGAAUGCAUUAAUACUUUCACUGCGUUGCAUGGUUGACAUCCCUUCCCAAAAUGUGGUUUUCAAAAAACAAAGAACCCAACGUUCUGUAUUGUCGUAUAGACCAGCCAACCACUCAUUAUCAUACAAAUUAUACUUUUCGAUCAUCUCUAUCCAACCUCUGUCAAAUUCUGCAACAAACUGACAAUCAUAUACCAACCCAUGUAUAGUAGCAAAUAUUGAACCCUUAUUCACGUGGUAUCCAAACUUUUCUGGCAACUUCUUCAAAAAAUGCCACAAA
RNAcentral lists this long non-coding RNA (564 nucleotides) under Olea europaea subsp. europaea. Lineage: Eukaryota; Viridiplantae; Streptophyta; Magnoliopsida; Lamiales; Oleaceae. The record is from RNAcentral.